AACAAAUACAGGUGAUGCAACUAGCUUAAGGUCAGCCUUUCUGAGGUUGAAGUUAACUGUCACACUGUAGAUGAAGAUGUGCAGUGCAAACAUGGUGUUGUGAUUUAUUUCACAGGGGUCUGUCUCAGUGACAGACCCCUCCCCCACCCAACGUCAAAAACCUUUGCCUUGUCUUCAGAAUUUGCUCAACAGGAAAGAAUGAGCUCCAUUGCGCGGACUGGUACAUUGAAGCCUGAGAUGGAAAGCUACUUGCUCAAAGUCCCACAGCAAAUCCGAUGCAAAGCUGGGUAAAAAUAAGUCUCCUUACAUGCGUGUGUGCAUUCCUUCAUUCACGAGUAAGUGUUGACUGGAGACCUACUAUGCGCUGGGCUCUGCUCCAGGUAGUCUCCUCAGUGCCCUGCCUUAGUAGGGCACCCCAGAUAAGCCUGGAUUCCGGAAACUCCGGAGAAAGGAUGUUGUACACCAAUUCUGAGACCUGCUGUGUGCCCCUAGCUAUGUUCAGGGGGCAGGAAAUAGACCAGACAUGGAGGUUCCCGCUUUGAGAGAAAUCCUAAAGGGCCCUUCCUCUUUAGGUGGGAGGUGAGCUAGACAGGUACCCAGAUUCUCUCGUGAGGCUCAGUGGCUGGCAGAAGCUGAGAAGUACUCAGUCAACUCAGACAGGACAAGUCUCAAUCUGGGAGCCUCCUGGCCUGGCAGAGCCAGGUGCUCUCUUCCUACUCAGAUGACUUCCAUAGGCCCUCAGCCCCUGAGAGCCUUUGCUGGGAAGCCAGGGAUGGCCCACAUUGCUGCUGCUGGCUGCUUCUCAGCAGCUGGGUGGAACAAUUCCUGCUGGCUCAGCUGCUGUAGCCGAUGAGAGAGACAGAGGAGGGAAUCAAGCGGGAUACGGCUGCGGUCACAGCGCAGUGAUGGGUAGGUGCACGCCAGCUGAGAGCAGAGUGGUCGGUGCUGGGAGCCCACAACUCCUGGCAGGGCCGGGGCCAGCUUGGAAAAUAAACACCCAGGGAUGGUACUUUAGGGUGGGGCGUCUGUUUGGAGAUAAAGGCACCUCCGCCCCUUGCCCAGGACAAAGGAGCCAUCUGGCCAGGCAGGGGCGGGUGCAGGCUCAGCCCCUCGGUGUCCCAGGCAGCUAGGGGGUGGGGUGCUGUCUGCACAGGCAGGCUGAGCUUAGGACCGAGGCCCCUCUCUGCAGCCUGGUACAGGCAGUGUCCACAUAGCCCAGGACUUCUCCACCUCAGCACUAAUGACACAUAGGGGCAGAUGAUUCUCGGGAGCGGGGCGUGAGGCUGUCCUGUACAUUGUAGGAUGUUGAGCAGCAUCCCCGGCCUCUACCUAUUAGAUGGCGAUAGCAUCCCCCGUCUCAAAUUAUGUAAGGCAAAAAGAUUUUCAAAUGUCCCCUGGGGACAAAAUCAACCCGAGUUAAGAGCCACUGACUGAGACCGGCAGCUCUCUCUCCUCACCCACCAGUUCCCAUGUUCCAUGCUUUUCCUGGGUAAUGAACCCCCGUCAGGGCCCAGGAGCUGACUGCAGCAGCUGCUUCAUGUACAUCUCACUGCAUCCUCCCACCAACGCUGUGAUGUGGAGGUGAAGAAGAUCUCCAUUUUACAGGAGAAGAAACGAAGACCUGGAAAGCACUGAUGACUUCAGGUUGCAGCCAGCCAUCAGGGAGCCAGCAAUAGAUGCAAGGAUUGGAGGACUCUGAGGCUAAUAUGGAGUAGAAUGCUCAGUAAAUGCCAGCUGCAGUGGGGUGGCCAUCCCAGGGGAUGAUGCCCCAGUGCCCAGGUCCUCUGUGCAAGUUCAUCCCAAGCUGUGCCAUCCCUUCCAAAUCCUUCACAAGCCAGAUGCAGGAGCGAAUCUUGUCACUGAGUUGCAGUCAUGGCCUAAGGGUGUUUCAGGAUAAACAGAAGAAGCAGAGGACAGCUGAUCUGGAUGUGUUGCCUCCCCCACUAACAUUAUUGUUACCCUCUUGGAAUUAGAGACCAUGCCAGCCUGUAUCUCCUCCUUCCUCUCUGUCCUGUGCAGAGCUGAGUGUGUCCUCAAUGUUUACAUAAAAUGCCAUAAAUCAUGGAAUCUUUAAGCACAAGAGACCUCAGAGGCCAACUCCAAGCCACAAACAAGGAACCCUGAAUCGAAAGGGAAUCUAAAGCUUCAGGCAAAGAGAGAGGAGAUUGGAUGGUGUGUCAAGCACAGUGCUACCCCCUUUAUAGGCAUGGCAUUGAGGUAGGACAUGGGACUUGACUCUGGAGGCAGGGCUCAGGUACGGGACCAAACUGAAGACUAGCUAAAAUAGGGACAGGGUGAAAACACCUUUCCAUAGGAAAUGCCUGUCAGUGUGCCAUGUCAGUUUAUCAUUGCCAUGGCAACACCUGGAAGUUACUGCCCCUUUCCAUGGCAACAACCCGAUGACUGGAAAGUUUCCAACCCUUUUCUAGAAAUUUCUGCAUAAUGCACCCUUUAAUUUGCAUAUAAUUAAAAGUGGGUAUAAAUAUGACUGCAGGACUGCCUCUGAGCUGCUACUCUGGGCACAUUGCCUAUGGGGUAGCCCUGCUCUGCAAGAAGAAGUACCUCUGCUGCUGUGGUACACUGCCACUUCAAGAAAAGUUGCUAACACCACUGGCUAGCCCUUGAAGCCCUUGAAUUAUUUCCUAGGCAAAGCCAAGAACUCUCGCAAGCUAAACCCCAAUUUGGGGGGCUCACCUGCCCUGCAUCAGCGUAAUUUAAUACUCACAGCUACCCUCCAAAGCCAGCAUCAUGAUACCCACCUGAGAGGUCAGAAAACCGAGACACGGAGUGAUGGCGGCUGACUCAGUUCCCCUAGCUGGGACUCACAGCUGGAUGCAAGCUGCCUAACCUGAGGCUUCAGGCUCUAUCCACAGUCUGCAGGCAUACUGACUGGCCUCUGUUUAUGCAUCUGUGAAAUGGGGAUGAUGAGGGCAAGUAUUCAUACUAUGCCCCACCCAGCAGGCUUCAGGCAAUGAGGAACUAUAAGCAUGGAUGUGAAUGUGUUCUGGACAUGGAAUGGAUGAUACAAAGAGAAUGGAUACUCAGGUGCCCAGAGAGCCCUGGCUUUGUUCCUGGAAGUGGUCAGAUAAAAAAACCAAAAAAAAAAAAACAGUUUGGAUGUGGAGUCAGGAAGAACUAGGUUCAAAUAUUACCUUUUCCACUUAAUCAGUGCCUGACCUUUGGCAGGUAACUCUACCAACCCUUCCACCCGCCUUUUGUAAAUAUUCACAGAGUGAGGGUCAUGUGCAAGAUACAGAAGUCAGUCUGGAUUCAAAUAGGCUCUGCUGGGGUGACAUGUAGGAAUCUGCACAAGUGAUUUGUCAUCGUCACCAUCAUCAUCACUGAGGCACAGCACACAUAUAAUACAAUGCAUAAAUCUAAAAGCAAAACCUGAAGAAUUUCUGCAUGUGCAUAGUGUUGUAGACUAAAUUGUGUCCUCCCACCCCCUGAAAAGUUAUCUAUUGAAGUCCUGACCUUCAUAACUUGGGAAAAUGGCUGUAUUUGAAGACAAGAUCUUUAAAGAAGUAAAGUAAAAUGAGGCCAUUAGGGUGGGCCCUAAUCCAUUUUACUGAUGUCAUGCACGGAUGCAUGUGUACAGAGGAAAGGCCAUGUGAGGACACGGCGAGAAGACGGCCACCUGCAAGCCAAGGAGAGAGAUCUCAAGAGAGACCAAACCUGCUGGCCCCUGAUCUUACACUUCCAGCUUCCAGAAUUGUAAGAAAGUAAACUUCGGUUGUCCAACCUACCCAGUCUGUGGUAUUUUGUUAUGGUAGCCUGGUCAGACUAAUACACAUAACCUUGUGUAACCAGCACUACGAUUAGGAGCAGAAUAUUUCCAAUAACCCAGCAGCCCCUGCCAUCAUGACCUUCUCAAUCUUGCCCUCUACCCCCAGAAGUAAUCAUUGCUCUGAUCCCUGUUAUCAUCAACUAGUUCUGUCCAUUUCUGAACUUCAUAUAGGUGGAACCAUACAAUAUGUUUCCUUUGUGCCUGGCUUCUUUGACUCAGCAUUCCAUUUCUGAAAUGCAUCUUUCCUAUUGGGUGCAGCCGUCAUUCAUUCUUUUUCUUUGCUGUAUAAUAUUCCACCGUGUGACUUCAUCACAGUUUGUUUAUCCAUUUCCCCAUUGAUACACAUUUUGGUUGUUUCUAUUUUUUAGCUCUUUUGAAUAAAGCUCUUAUGGGCAUUCUUGUGCAAGUCUUCAAUAGCCCUGCACACUCGUUUUUCGAGGGGUAUAUACUCAGGAAUAAAAUUGCUGAGUCACAGCUUAAAUGUAUAUUUAGCUUUAAUUAAUGUUAGAGUUUGUGCUUUAACCUUUCCGCAC
RNAcentral lists this long non-coding RNA (4320 nucleotides) under Homo sapiens (human). RNAcentral's name for it is "HSALNT0276482". Lineage: Eukaryota; Metazoa; Chordata; Mammalia; Primates; Hominidae. The record is from RNAcentral.